Molecule: ribosomal RNA, 496 nt
Filed under: uncultured bacterium
Lineage: Bacteria
Description: partial 16S ribosomal RNA
Rfam family: Bacterial small subunit ribosomal RNA
Source: RNAcentral
GAUGAACGCUGGCGGCGUGCCUAAUACAUGCAAGUCGAGCGAACAGACGAGGAGCUUGCUCCUCUGACGUUAGCGGCGGACGGGUGAGUAACACGUGGAUAACCUACCUAUAAGACUGGGAUAACUUCGGGAAACCGGAGCUAAUACCGGAUAAUAUAUUGAACUGCAUGGUUCAAUAGUGAAAGACGGUUUUGCUGUCACUUAUAGAUGGAUCCGCGCCGCAUUAGCUAGUUGGUAAGGUAACGGCUUACCAAGGCAACGAUGCGUAGCCGACCUGAGAGGUGGAUGGGCAACACGGGAACGGAAAAACGGUCCAGACCCCUAGGGGAGGCAGAGGUGGGGAAUCUUCCGAAAGGGCGAAAGCCUGACGGAGCAACGCCGCGUGAGUGAUGAAGGUCUUCGGAUCGUAAAACUCUGUUAUUAGGGAAGAACAAAUGUGUAAGUAACUAUGCACGUCUUGACGGUACCUAAUCAGAAAGCCACGGCUAACUACGUG